UGGUGCCAGCCGCCGCGGUAAUACAGAGAGUGCAAGCGUUAAUCGGAAUCACUGGGCGUAAAGCGCGCGUAGGUGGAUGUUUAAGUCGGAUGUGAAAACCCUGGGCUUAACCUGGGAAUUGCACCCGAUACUGGGCAUCUCGAGUAUGGUAGAGGGAAGUGGAAUUUCCGAUGUAGCGGUGAAAUGCGUAGAUAUCGGAAGGAACACCAGUGGCGAAGGCGGCUUCCUGGACCAAUACUGACACUGAGGCGCGAAAGCGUGGGGAGCAAACAGGAUUAGAUACCCUGGUAGUCCCG
RNAcentral lists this ribosomal RNA (296 nucleotides) under uncultured Coxiella sp. Its description in RNAcentral is "partial 16S ribosomal RNA". It matches the Rfam family "Bacterial small subunit ribosomal RNA", at positions 503 to 799 of the family's 1533-position model. The record is from RNAcentral. Lineage: Bacteria; Pseudomonadati; Pseudomonadota; Gammaproteobacteria; Legionellales; Coxiellaceae.